Molecule: ribosomal RNA, 254 nt
Filed under: uncultured bacterium
Lineage: Bacteria
Also listed under: 1 other name
Description: partial 16S ribosomal RNA
Rfam family: Bacterial small subunit ribosomal RNA
Source: RNAcentral
UACGGGGGGUGCAAGCGUUGUCCGGAAUGAUUGGGCGUAAAGCAUCUGUAGGUGGUUUUUAAAGUCGACUGUUAAAGCCCAGGGCUCAACUUUGGAUAAGCGGUCGAGUACUUAAGGACUUGAGUAUGGUAGGGGUAGAGGGAAUUCCUAGUGGAGCGGUGAAAUGCACAGAGAUUAGGAAGAACACCGAGGGCGAAAGCACUCUACUGGGCCAUGACUGACACUGAGAGAUGAAAGUUGGGGGAGCGAAAAGG